RNAcentral lists this ribosomal RNA (500 nucleotides) under uncultured bacterium. Its description in RNAcentral is "partial 16S ribosomal RNA". It matches the Rfam family "Bacterial small subunit ribosomal RNA", at positions 28 to 507 of the family's 1533-position model. The record is from RNAcentral.
GACGAACGCUGGCGGCGUGCUUAACACAUGCAAGUCGAACGGGUCUGCCCUGUUUUUUGCGGGGUGGGUCAGUGGCGAACGGGUGAGUAACACGUGAGUAACCCGCCCCUCACUUCUGGAUAACCGCUUGAAAGGGUGGCUAAUACGGGGUGUUCUGGCUGUGCCGCAUGGUGUGGCUGGGAAAGAUUCACUUUUGUGGUGUUUUGGUGGGGGAUGGGCUCGCGGCCUAUCAGCUUGUUGGUGGGGUGAUGGCCUGCCAAGGCUUUGACGGGUAGCCGGCCUGAGAGGGUGGGCGGUCACACUGGGACUGAGAUACGGCCCAGACUCCUGCGGGAGGCAGCAGUGGGGGGUAUUGCACAAUGGGCGGAAGCCUGAUGCAGCGACGUCGCGUGAGGGAUGGAGGCCUUCGGGUUGUGAACCUCUUUCGCCGGUGAAGAAGGUCCUGCUCUUUGUGGUGGGGUUGACGGUAGCCGGGUUAUGAAGCGCCGGCUAACUACGUG